AUUCUGGACAAUGGGGGGAACCCUGAUCCAGCCAUCCCGCCCGUGCGAUGAAGGCCUUCGGGUUGUAAAGCACUUUUGGCAAGGACGACAAGCCUCUGGUUAAUACCCGGCGCUGCUGACGGUACCUUCACAACAAGCACCGGCUCACUACGUGCCAGCAGCCGCGGUAAUACGUAGGGUGCAAGCGUUAAUCGGAAUUACUGGGCGUAAAGCGUGCGCAGGCGGUUUGGCAAGAAGGAUGUGAAAUCCCAGGGCUUAACCUUGGAACUGCAUUCUUAACUGCCAGGCUAGAGUAUGUCAGAGGGGGGUAGAAUUCCGCGUGUAGCAGUGAAAUGCGUAGAGAUGCGGAGGAAUACCGAUGGCGAAGGCAGCCCCCUGGGAUAAUACUGACGCUCAUGCACGAAAGCGUGGGGAGCAAAC
This 420-nucleotide ribosomal RNA is filed under the name uncultured bacterium. RNAcentral describes it as "partial 16S ribosomal RNA". It matches the Rfam family "Bacterial small subunit ribosomal RNA", at positions 361 to 773 of the family's 1533-position model. The record is from RNAcentral.